UGGGGAAUAUUGGGCAAUGGGCGGAAGCCUGACCCAGCAACGCCGCGUGAAGGAAGAAGGUUUUCGGAUUGUAAACUUCUGUCCUAAGUGACGAAGGAAGUGACGGUAGCUUAGGAGGAAGCCCCGGCUAACUACGUGCCAGCAGCCGCGGUAAUACGUAGGGGGCGAGCGUUGUCCGGAAUGACUGGGCGUAAAGGGCGUGUAGGCGGCCGAUUAAGUAUGGAGUAGUCAAAUUCCUAGCAUUCAAGGGUUGGACUUGCUUUGUAGACUGGUUGGCUUGAGUGCGGAAGAGGUAAGUGGAAUUCCCAGUGUAGCGGUGAAAUGCGUAGAGAUUGGGAGGAACACCAGUGGCGAAGGCGGCUUACUGGACUGUAACUGACGUUGAGGCUCGAAAGCGUGGGGAGCAAACAGGAUUAGAUACCC
RNAcentral lists this ribosomal RNA (423 nucleotides) under uncultured bacterium. RNAcentral describes it as "bacterial SSU rRNA". It matches the Rfam family "Bacterial small subunit ribosomal RNA", at positions 355 to 787 of the family's 1533-position model. The record is from RNAcentral.